This 233-nucleotide ribosomal RNA is filed under the name uncultured bacterium. RNAcentral's name for it is "partial 16S ribosomal RNA". It matches the Rfam family "Bacterial small subunit ribosomal RNA", at positions 102 to 334 of the family's 1533-position model. The record is from RNAcentral.
CCACGGGUGAGUAACACGUAUCCAACCUGCCGUCUACUCUUGGACAGCCUUCUGAAGGAAGAUUAAUACAAGAUGGCAUCAUGAGUUCACAUGUUCACAUGAUUAAAGGUAUUCCGGUAGACGAUGGGGAUGCGUUCCAUUAGAUAGUAGGCGGGGUAACGGCCCACCUAGUCUUCGAUGGAUAGGGGUUCUGAGAGGAAGGUCCCCCACAUUGGAACUGAGACACGGUCCAA